RNAcentral lists this ribosomal RNA (983 nucleotides) under uncultured bacterium. RNAcentral's name for it is "partial 16S ribosomal RNA". It matches the Rfam family "Bacterial small subunit ribosomal RNA", at positions 1 to 817 of the family's 1533-position model. The record is from RNAcentral.
UAGAAUACUCAAGCUAUGCAUCCAACGCGUUGGGAGCUCUCCCAUAUGGUCGACCUGCAGGCGGCCGCACUAGUGAUUAGUUUGAUCAUGGCUCAGGAUGAACGCUGGCGGCGUGCUUAACACAUGCAAGUCGAGCGGGCAAUUUAUCUAGCACUGAUUACUUCAAAUGGCUAUCGCCAGUGUAAUCAUGAAUUUCUACCUUUUAAUAAAGAAAAAGAAAUUCAUGUACGCAAAUAGUGAUAACACAUGAAAGUGGAGUGAUGAGUGCUGGAUAAAUUGCUAGCGGCGGACGGGUGCGUAACACGUGGGUAACCUGCCCCUAUCACUGGGAUAACACACUGAAAAGUGUGCUAAUACCAGAUAAUAUAAGCUUUUGGCAUCAUUAGCUUAUCAAAGAAUUUCGGAUAGGGAUGGGCCCGCGUCUGAUUAGCUAGUUGGUGAGGUAACGGCUCACCAAGGCAACGAUCAGUAGCCGACCUGAGAGGGUGAUCGGCCACACUGGAACUGAGACACGGUCCAGACUCCUACGGGAGGCAGCAGUGGGGAAUAUUGCACAAUGGGCGAAAGCCUGAUGCAGCAACGCCGCGUGAGCGAUGAAGGCCUUCGGGUCGUAAAGCUCUGUCCUAUGGGAAGAUAAUGACGGUACCAUAGGAGGAAGCCCCGGCUAACUACGUGCCAGCAGCCGCGGUAAUACGUAGGGGGCAAGCGUUAUCCGGAAUUACUGGGCGUAAGGGUGCGUAGGCGGUUUAUCAAGUCAGGGGUGAAAGGCUACGGCUCAACCGUAGUGAGCCUCUGAAACUGGUGAACUUGAGUGUAGGAGAGGAAAGUGGAAUUCCCAGUGUAGCGGUGAAAUGCGUAGAUAUUGGGAGGAACACCAGUGGCGAAAGCGACUUUCUGGACUACAACUGACGCUGAGGCACGAAAGCGUGGGGAGCAAACAGGAUUAGAUACCCUGGUAGUCCACGCUGUAAACGAUGAGUACU